AACAAAGUAUUAUAGCAUACUUGUUUAAUGCUCCAAGCCUUACAACCCACAUAACUUGUUUUGGUUUAGAUAUAAGAAGCUAAGCAACUUGUAAGUUUUCUUAUUUUUUCGAAACGAGCUUCUCAAUCAGAUCCGCUGCAUCCUGAACGGUUGCAAUGCUCUGAGCGCUUUCUUCUUCCACGCUGAUUCCAAAUUCUUCUUCCAGUCCCAUCACAAUCUCAACCUGAAUAAGAUCAAACAUAAUAGGUGUUCUCGGUCAAUCCAAACAACUAAUUACCCUUCCGACAUCUCACAUGACAUGCUACACAAUCCGCCCAUUUUCCACCUCUAUGUAAGUAGUUAAAGUCAACCCAACCCGAAUCCAAACAAUUAAAUGAUUAAUUGCUUGUUUUGACAAGUCAUUUUUCCACCUCUAAUAUUUAAGUGUUUAGGGUCAACCCAGCCCAACCCGACUCGUUUCAACCCAAUCAAUUAAUUGUCUAUUUUGACAUACCACACAACCCGCCCAUUUUUCCAUCUCUGAUAUAUACUAUGUUCCUAUGGAAUUGUGUCGGCUUUUAGUUACUACCACGACGAUUGUGGACUCCAAAAAACAAACCACAAUACCGUAUCAAGAGAAUCGGCUCCAAGAGUAGCGAACUUGGACUCUCCGGUUACAGCAGUGUCUUCUGGAACUGCCAACUGUUUCCUGACGAUGUUACAAACCUUGUUGACCGUCUCAGGUGUCGCCUGCCAAAAGAUGUAACCGGUCCGUAUUAAUAUACCAUAUUCUGGGGUGUAAACAAGCUCAUGGGCUACUUGAAACCGGCUCACUAAAAGCUCAAACAAGCAUCAUUAGCCUAAACAAGCCUUUUGUUUCUAUUCAUAUUACAAGUUUUAUUUUAUAUGAAAUAAAAAACAUAAAAAAAGUAUUAUAUAUAAUUAAAAUAUAGUAACUAACCAAUUAUGUUAAUACAAAAUUAAAAUAAAAAACACAUGUAAAAUUAGUUAUACUUAUUAUUAUCAAAAUUAAUAUAACUAAUUAAUAACGAAGGACCCAAGUCCAGGCUCGAGCUUUAGAAGAAGAGCUUGGAAUGAGCCGAGACCGAGCAGUCUGAAGUUAAACAAGAUGAGUCAAGCUCAAGCCUGAGUUGUUUAAACCUCUAACCAUAUAAUGAUAAUAAAAAUAGAGUUAACUUCCAUUUUGCUCCCUGUGAUUUGUUCAUUUUAUUUUAGUUAAACAGAGGUUAAAAAACACCGAUAACUGGUUUUUGGUUAAUUCGGUCAAUCGGUUUUCAGUUUGUUUCGCUUUCAUCUGUUUUUUAUUAACGAUUCAAUUAUUGCUUACCUCUUAGACAUUGUUAAUCACGUAAUAUAUCAAUUCGUUUAACUAAAACAAUUAUAGCAAUAUUAUACUCAAAUUAAAGAAAAUAAAAUGCUUGUUUUUAUGAUGUAACUUUAAAAAAAAUAUUAACAUCCGUAAAAGUUAUGGUGAUAGUUUGUUUUUUAUAAGAAAUAUAAAGUGUAACUGCUAAUUAAUUACUCAUAACUUGGUUAAUGAUGAACGAAUUAAAGUGGAAUUAAGAUGGGGUUUAAUUAAAAAAAAUCAACUUUAUACAAGAUUAUGAUAAAAAUUAUAUUUAUAAACGUAUAUAAAUUAAUCACUAAACUUUAUACAAGAUUAUGAUAAAAAUUAUAUUUAUAAACGUAUAUAAAUUAAUCACUAAACUUUAUACAAGAUUAUGAUAAAAGUUAUAUUUAUAAACGUAUAUAAAUUAAUCACUAAAUAACAAACGAGAACAGAGGUCUGAGUUUCGAAAAUAAAGCUUGAAAUCGGCUGGUUUACAACGCUAAAUUCAUAAACAAUCAUAAAACAAAAGAAAAAGAAAUUGGAAUCAAGGGAUUUGUUCAAAAAUGUGAAUAAUCAUAAUAAGAAAAAAAGAAGAAUCAUCAAACAUAUGUGCAAUUAUGUUACGAUCAAAUCAAAUCCAAGUUGAUCAAAAUAAUAAUAAUAAUAAUAAUCAUCGGAUCAAAACGACGUCGUGAAAUAUAAAACCUGAUUCGGUUUAUGGCAUGAAAGAGAGGGCAUGAAAGUGGAGAAUCCUGCAACAGAAGCCAUUGAUGAAGGCUGAAGGACGAAGGAUUUGA
RNAcentral lists this long non-coding RNA (2127 nucleotides) under Helianthus annuus (common sunflower). RNAcentral describes it as "hypothetical non coding rna". Lineage: Eukaryota; Viridiplantae; Streptophyta; Magnoliopsida; Asterales; Asteraceae. The record is from RNAcentral.